AGACAGCAGCCGCCGCGGUAAUACGUAGGUCCCGAGCGUUGUCCGGAUUUAUUGGGCGUAAAGCGAGCGCAGGCGGUUAGAUAAGUCUGAAGUUAAAGGCUGUGGCUUAACCAUAGUACGCUUUGGAAACCGUUUAACUUGAGUGCAGAAGGGGAGAGUGGAAUUCCAUGUGUAGCGGUGAAAUGCGUAGAUAUAUGGAGGAACACCGGUGGCGAAAGCGGCUCUCUGGUCUGUAACUGACGCUGAGGCUCGAAAGCGUGGGGAGCGAACAGGAUUAGAUACCCGUGUAGUCCCUGUCUCUUAUACA
RNAcentral lists this ribosomal RNA (307 nucleotides) under uncultured bacterium. RNAcentral's name for it is "partial 16S ribosomal RNA". It matches the Rfam family "Bacterial small subunit ribosomal RNA", at positions 506 to 808 of the family's 1533-position model. The record is from RNAcentral.